UACGAAGGGGGCUAGCGUUGCUCGGAAUUACUGGGCGGAAAGCGCACGUAGGCGGCUUUCUAAGUCGGGGGUGAAAUCCUGGAGCUCAACUCCAGAACUGCCUUCGAUACUGGAGAGCUCGAGUCCGGGAGAGGUGAGUGGAACUGCGAGUGUAGAGGUGAAAUUCGUAGAUAUUCGCAAGAACACCAGUGGCGAAGGCGGCUCACUGGCCCGGUACUGACGCUGAGGCGCGAAAGCGUGGGGAGCAAACAGG
RNAcentral lists this ribosomal RNA (253 nucleotides) under uncultured bacterium. RNAcentral describes it as "partial 16S ribosomal RNA". It matches the Rfam family "Bacterial small subunit ribosomal RNA", at positions 524 to 776 of the family's 1533-position model. The record is from RNAcentral.